This 273-nucleotide ribosomal RNA is filed under the name uncultured prokaryote. RNAcentral describes it as "partial 16S ribosomal RNA". It matches the Rfam family "Bacterial small subunit ribosomal RNA", at positions 524 to 796 of the family's 1533-position model. The record is from RNAcentral.
UACAGAGAGUGCAAACGUUGUUCGGAAUCACUGGGCUUAAAGCGCACGUAGGCGGCAUCGUAAGUGUCGGGUGAAAUCCCACGGCUCACCCGUGGAACUGCCCGGCAGACUGCGAUGCUAGAGUGUGGUAGGGGAAAGCGGAACUCCUGGUGGAGCGGUGAAAUGCGUAGAUAUCAGGAGGAACACCGGUGGCGAAGGCGGCUUUCUGGUCCACAACUGACGCUGAGGUGCGAAAGCUAGGGGAGCAAACGGGAUUAGAAACCCUGGUAGUCC